UGGGGAAUUUUGGACAAUGGGGGCAACCCUGAUCCAGCCAUUCCGCGUGAGUGAAGAAGGCCUUCGGGUUGUAAAGCUCUUUCGGCAGGAACGAAACGGCGAGCUCUAACAUAGCUCGCUAAUGACGGUACCUGAAGAAGAAGCACCGGCUAACUACGUGCCAGCAGCCGCGGUAAUACGUAGGGUGCGAGCGUUAAUCGGAAUUACUGGGCGUAAAGCGUGCGCAGGCGGUUGUGUAAGACAGGUGUGAAAUCCCCGGGCUUAACCUGGGAACUGCGCUUGUGACUGCACGACUAGAGUAUGGCAGAGGGGGGUGGAAUUCCACGUGUAGCAGUGAAAUGCGUAGAGAUGUGGAGGAACACCGAUGGCGAAGGCAGCCCCCUGGGCCAAUACUGACGCUCAUGCACGAAAGCGUGGGGAGCAAACAGG
RNAcentral lists this ribosomal RNA (429 nucleotides) under uncultured Methyloversatilis sp. RNAcentral describes it as "bacterial SSU rRNA". It matches the Rfam family "Bacterial small subunit ribosomal RNA", at positions 355 to 776 of the family's 1533-position model. Lineage: Bacteria; Pseudomonadati; Pseudomonadota; Betaproteobacteria; Nitrosomonadales; Sterolibacteriaceae. The record is from RNAcentral.